Molecule: ribosomal RNA, 513 nt
Filed under: uncultured bacterium
Lineage: Bacteria
Description: bacterial SSU rRNA
Rfam family: Bacterial small subunit ribosomal RNA
Source: RNAcentral
CUCCUACGGGAGGCAGCAGUGGGGAAUAUUGGGCAAUGGGCGCAAGCCUGACCCAGCAACGCCGCGUGAAGGAAGAAGGCUUUCGGGUUGUAAACUUCUUUUAAGAGGGAAGAGCAGAAGACUGUACCUCUAGAAUAAGCCACGGCUAACUACGUGCCAGCAGCCGCGGUAAUACGUAGGUGGCAAGCGUUGUCCGGAUUUACUGGGUGUAAAGGGCGUGCAGCCGGGAAUGCAAGUCAGAUGUGAAAUCCAUGGGCUUAACCCAUGAACUGCAUUUGAAACUGUAUUUCUUGAGUACUGGAGAGGCAAUCGGAAUUCCUAGUGUAGCGGUGAAAUGCGUAGAUAUUAGGAGGAACACCAGUGGCGAAGGCGGAUUGCUGGACAGCAACUGACGGUGAGGCGCGAAAGUGUGGGGAGCAAACAGGAUUAGAUACCCUGGUAGUCCACACUGUAAACGAUGAAUACUAGGUGUGCGGGGACUGACCCCCUGCGUGCCGCAGUUAACACAAUAAG